RNAcentral lists this ribosomal RNA (463 nucleotides) under Vreelandella stevensii. RNAcentral's name for it is "partial 16S ribosomal RNA". It matches the Rfam family "Bacterial small subunit ribosomal RNA", at positions 338 to 793 of the family's 1533-position model. Lineage: Bacteria; Pseudomonadati; Pseudomonadota; Gammaproteobacteria; Oceanospirillales; Halomonadaceae. The record is from RNAcentral.
CCUACGGGUGGCUGCAGUGGGGAAUAUUGGACAAUGGGCGAAAGCCUGAUCCAGCCAUGCCGCGUGUGUGAAGAAGGCCUUCGGGUUGUAAAGCACUUUCAGUGGGGAAGAAAGCCUUGGGGCUAAUACCCUCGAGGAAGGACAUCACCCACAGAAGAAGCACCGGCUAACUCCGUGCCAGCAGCCGCGGUAAUACGGAGGGUGCGAGCGUUAAUCGGAAUUACUGGGCGUAAAGCGCGCGUAGGCGGGCUGAUACGCCGGUUGUGAAAGCCCCGGGCUCAACCUGGGAACGGCAUCCGGAACUGUCAGGCUAGAGUGCAGGAGAGGAAGGUAGAAUUCCCGGUGUAGCGGUGAAAUGCGUAGAGAUCGGGAGGAAUAGCAGUGGCGAAGGCGGCCGUCUGGACUGACACUGACGCUGAGGUGCGAAAGCGUGGGUAGCAAACAGGAUUAGAUACCCUGGUAC